RNAcentral lists this long non-coding RNA (626 nucleotides) under Citrus sinensis (sweet orange). RNAcentral describes it as "long non-coding RNA (CSIN_LNC005753)". The record is from RNAcentral. Lineage: Eukaryota; Viridiplantae; Streptophyta; Magnoliopsida; Sapindales; Rutaceae.
UACAUUACCAUCUUAUUGGCUUUCCGGGUGACGAAAAUGGGUAGCUUAACUUUCUUAUAAUUGAGUUAUGCUAUGUGGGUUUGUUGUGGUGAUUAAAUACUGAUGGCAGUGUCUAAUGAGAUGAUGAGGGAACUCUAUCUAUGCGAAAAUGCAUGGUGUAUUUCGUGUUUAAAGAUUUUUAUGCAAGUUUUAUUGUAUUACGUUGUUUUAUUAAUAUUACUGUCUCCCAAUAUUUGAGUUCUUGUGUUUAUCGAAUGAUAGAAAAGAGUUUACCCUGAUUUAUGGUUUUGAUUGAGAUGUAAUGGAUAUUUUUAUUUGAUUAUAGGUUGGCAAGUCAAAACUUGACCUUGGUGCCUGCAAGGAAGAAGUCAAGAAGAUUGACUAGGAAACAAGAUCUGUUGGUAAGAAUUCCUUCCCAACGAAAACUUUAAUACUGAUUAAUGUCAUAAACUUGUUGGUUCAUUUUUUUUUUAUUUAAAUUUUCAUUUGCCUGGGCAUGUUUGCUGUACUAUUAUUCAUGAAUUGGGAAUUGAUCUUUGAAUGAGUAUUGGAAUCAAAUAAUGACGAAAGUAUAUAAUGAACAGUUGAAUGUUCUUUGGCCAAAAUAAAUUCACUUUGGCAUGACU